AACGAACGCUGGCGGCAUGCCUAACACAUGCAAGUCGAACGGCAGCACGGGGCAACCUGGCGGCGAGUGGCGAACGGGUGAGUAAUAUAUCGGAACAUACCCUAGAGUGGGGGAUAACGUAGCGAAAGUUACGCUAAUACCGCAUACGAUCUAAGGAUGAAAGUGGGGGAUCUUCGGACCUCAUGCUCAUGGAGUGGCCGAUAUCUGAUUAGCUAGUUGGUGAGGUAAAGGCUCACCAAGGCGACGAUCAGUAGCUGGUUUGAGAGAACGACCAGCCACACUGGAACUGAGACACGGUCCAGACUCCUACGGGAGGCAGCAGGUGGGUAAGUUUUGGACAAGUGGGGGCAACCCUGAUCCAGCAAUGCCGCGUGAGUGAAGAAGGCC
RNAcentral lists this ribosomal RNA (387 nucleotides) under uncultured bacterium. RNAcentral describes it as "bacterial SSU rRNA". It matches the Rfam family "Bacterial small subunit ribosomal RNA", at positions 29 to 416 of the family's 1533-position model. The record is from RNAcentral.